Molecule: long non-coding RNA, 307 nt
Organism: Helianthus annuus (common sunflower)
Lineage: Eukaryota; Viridiplantae; Streptophyta; Magnoliopsida; Asterales; Asteraceae
Exons: 3
Source: RefSeq, a predicted model, not a curated record
CCCCGACCCCGUUUCGAUCAAAUUACGAGAAUGACCUGAUUUCAAAGUUUAAAUCAGUCUUGGACGAGAGGCUGCUAGAGAACAACCGGAGACUUACCAAUAUGUUCAUGGGAGAGUUUUCUCAAUCAUAUCGAUGUUCUCCAAAGCAAAAAACGGUCAGGACUCCGGUGACCGUACGAACACCAAAAGAAGAGGCACACACUCAGAGUGAUAAUGCUGUUGCCGAUUCAUUUAUCAAUUACGAUAAUGCCUACCACGUCUCUAUGAGCCCGAUGGUGAAUGAAGAUUUUAAUGAGGAUCCUGAAAU